Dreissena polymorpha is the source of this 124-nucleotide long non-coding RNA. RefSeq lists it as uncharacterized. NCBI's taxonomy places the organism in Eukaryota, Metazoa, Mollusca, Bivalvia, Myida, Dreissenidae. The record is from RefSeq and is a predicted model, not a curated record. The transcript is spliced from 2 exons.
AUUCCGGCGCUGCUCCUUCUGGCGCUCAUGGCGGGGCUGGCCGUGUAUCUCAUCCGGCGAUGCAUCCAAGGCGGCCGAUGCGGUUCGUGUUACCAGUCGCGCACCGUGAAGACGAUCCGACCGC